AGGCUUAUAGUUGAAAGGUUACAACAUACCGCUCAUAACGGUAAAAGUAUAGGUUCGAAUCCUUUUAAGCCUA
RNAcentral lists this transfer RNA (73 nucleotides) under Glaucocystis nostochinearum. Its description in RNAcentral is "tRNA-Met". It matches the Rfam family "tRNA". From Rfam's summary of the family: Transfer RNA (tRNA) molecules are approximately 80 nucleotides in length. The record is from RNAcentral. Lineage: Eukaryota; Glaucocystophyceae; Glaucocystales; Glaucocystaceae.